Molecule: ribosomal RNA, 375 nt
Filed under: uncultured bacterium
Lineage: Bacteria
Description: bacterial SSU rRNA
Rfam family: Bacterial small subunit ribosomal RNA
Source: RNAcentral
UACGUAGGGAGCGAGCGUUGUCCGGAAUUACUGGGUGUAAAGGGUGCGCAGGCGGGACUGCAAGUUGGAUGUGAAAUACCGGGGCUUAACCCCGGGGCUGCAUCCAAAACUGUAGUUCUUGAGUGAAGUAGAGGCAGGCGGAAUUCCGAGUGUAGCGGUGAAAUGCGUAGAUAUUCGGAGGAACACCAGUGGCGAAGGCGGCCUGCUGGGCUUUAACUGACGCUGAGGCACGAAAGCAUGGGUAGCAAACAGGAUUAGAUACCCUGGUAGUCCAUGCCGUAAACGAUGAUUGCUAGGUGUGGGAGGUCUGACCCCUUCCGUGCCGGAGUUAACACAAUAAGCAAUCCACCUGGGGAGUACGGCCGCAAGGCUAAA